UGGGAUUAAAGGUGUAUACUAAAGGAUUCC
This 30-nucleotide non-coding RNA is filed under the name Mus musculus (house mouse). Lineage: Eukaryota; Metazoa; Chordata; Mammalia; Rodentia; Muridae. The record is from RNAcentral.